GACGAACGCUGGCGGCGUGCUUAACACAUGCAAGUCGAACGGAAAGGCCCUGCUUUUGUGGGGUGCUCGAGUGGCGAACGGGUGAGUAACACGUGAGUAACCUGCCUUUGACUUUGGGAUAACUUCAGGAAACUGUGGCUAAUACCGGAUAGGAGCUCCUGCUGCAUGGCGGGGGUUGGAAAGUUUCGGCGGCUGGGGAUGGACUCGCGGCUUAGCAGCUUGUUGGUGGGGUAGUGGAUUACCAAGGCUUUGACGGGUAGCCGGCCUGAGAGGGUGACCGGCCACAUUGGGACUGAGAUACGGCCCAGACUCCUACGGGAGGCAGCAGUGGGGAAUAGUGCACACUGGGCGGAAGCCUGAUGCAGCAACUCCGCGUGCGAGAUGACGGCCUUCGGGUUGUAAACCGCUUUCGCCUGUGACGAAGCGUGAGUGACGGUAAUGGGUAAAGAAGCACCGGCUAACUGCGUG
This 468-nucleotide ribosomal RNA is filed under the name uncultured bacterium. RNAcentral describes it as "partial 16S ribosomal RNA". It matches the Rfam family "Bacterial small subunit ribosomal RNA", at positions 28 to 507 of the family's 1533-position model. The record is from RNAcentral.